Molecule: ribosomal RNA, 245 nt
Filed under: uncultured bacterium
Lineage: Bacteria
Description: partial 16S ribosomal RNA
Rfam family: Bacterial small subunit ribosomal RNA
Source: RNAcentral
AUACGUAGGGAGCGAGCGUUGUCCGGAAUUACUGGGUGUAAAGGGAGUGUAGCGGGACUGCAAGUCAGAUGUGAAUUUAGGGGCUCAACCCCUAAACUGCAUUUGAAACUGUGGUUCUUGAGUGAAGUAGAGGUAAACGGAAUUCCUAGUGUAGCGGUGAAAUGCGUAGAUAUUAGGAGGAACAUCAGUGGCGAAGGCGGUUUACUGGGCUUUUACUGACGCUGAGGCUCGAAAGCGUGGGGAGC